UGCGAUACAUACAGUGGAGCAGCAGAGUGAGUGGAGAAUUAGAGUCGGUGCCAGUUCACCUAGAGGCAUUUAUCUUUUCUUUUUUCCCUGGUGCCUGCGCUGAGCCUGAGGAUCAGAAUGGAAAAGAGAACUAUUGGGCUCCCUGCCUGGCUGCGAGUGUUGCUGAGCACACAGCCGCUACAAUAAUCUGUCAGUGCUGCUGCUGAUGCCUGCUGACGUUACCAUGAAGGCUGCUGCCACCCAAAGGAACUGGACAGAAUGAUAGCACUGGGCUCCACUCAGGAACACAUCUCCUAAGAUAUUGACGAGCAAGCUGUGCCACAGUGGGGUGAGGGUUGGAAGAGGGAAGGCUCCAGAGCCCGGGCUUCAUUCUCUCACACGAAGAAACAACAGGGAGAGGACACUCUUGGAAACUCUCCACCUCCCUCAUUCUUCUCUAAGAAAGAGAGUUGCUUUAUCUCGUUGACAAAUUUGGAAGCAAAUACUGGGCAAGAGCAGCUCAGCUCCUGCCCAUACAGGACUCAAGCUCUGGUGUACUCUCCACAUGCCAAAGCUCAAUGGCACACUCUGUCCCUGCAGCGGGAGCCUAUGGCAUUGCCUGUGAUUGGGGGUGAGGCUAUCUAUUCUGAGAUUCAAGAUGGAAGCCCCCAUUGCCCCUCCUAAGCCGUGCUUUCCAGCAUUGUAAUAAAACUGGAUUUUUUUCCCUCUAUCUCCUUUAUUCCACCUUAUCACUUGGGUUAGCAUUCAGAUGGGGGGAAAGAGGCUGUCAUGUGUCAACCUUCUCAAACCCCAACAUUCUGGACCAAACA
Molecule: long non-coding RNA, 809 nt
Organism: Gorilla gorilla gorilla (western lowland gorilla)
Lineage: Eukaryota; Metazoa; Chordata; Mammalia; Primates; Hominidae
Exons: 4
Source: RefSeq, a predicted model, not a curated record